UGGGGAAUAUUGGACAAUGGGCGAAAGCCUGAUCCAGCCAUGCCGCGUGUGUGAAGAAGGUCUUCGGAUUGUAAAAGCACUUUAAAGUUGGGAGGAAAGGGCAUUAACCUAAUACGUUAGUGUUUUGACGUUACCGACAGAAUAAGCACCGGCUAACUUCGUGCCAGCAGCCGCGGUAAUACGAAGGGUGCAAGCGUUAAUCGGAAUUACUGGGCGUAAAGCGCGCGUAGGUGGUUCGUUAAGUUGGAUGUGAAAAGCCCCCGGGCUCAACCUGGGAAACUGCAUCCAAAAACUGGCGAGCUAGAGUACGGUAGAGGGGUGGUGGAAUUUCCUGUGUAGCGGUGAAAUGCGUAGAUAUAGGAAGGAACACCAGUGGCGAAGGCGACCACCUGGACUGAUACUGACACUGAGGUGCGAAAGCGUGGGGGAGCAAAACAGGAUUAGAUACCCUGGUAGUCCACGCCGUAAAACGAUGUCAACUAGCCGUUGGGUUCCUUGAGAACUUAGUGGCGCAGCUAACGCAUUAAGUUGACCGCCUGGGGAGUACGGCCGCAAGGUUAAAACUCAAAUGAAUUGACGGGGUCAUAGCUGUUUCCUG
RNAcentral lists this ribosomal RNA (598 nucleotides) under uncultured bacterium. RNAcentral's name for it is "partial 16S ribosomal RNA". It matches the Rfam family "Bacterial small subunit ribosomal RNA", at positions 355 to 1376 of the family's 1533-position model. The record is from RNAcentral.